This 555-nucleotide ribosomal RNA is filed under the name Triticum aestivum (bread wheat). RNAcentral's name for it is "partial small subunit ribosomal RNA". The record is from RNAcentral. Lineage: Eukaryota; Viridiplantae; Streptophyta; Magnoliopsida; Poales; Poaceae.
AUGGCAAAAUGCUUCAAUAAGGUGCUCAAGGGUGUACGUGCAUUACCCGUGACGGCAAUAGUUCAAUACACAUUUGACAAGAUGAAUGAAUACUUUUUAAAGCACUCAAUGGAGACUGAUAAGCAGAUUGCUGGUGAGAACAAGGAUAAGCACAAGUACAAUUUCCCACCAAAGGUUGAACAAUGGUUGGACUUUCAAUCACGAAAGGCAGACUCCGAAGAAGCUGUACUAUAUGACGACAACGAGUGGAAGUAUAAGGUGAAAGAGCCCGGAGGAACCACAAACGAUGGCCGCCAACACGGAGGCCGGGAUUUCAAGGUCUCCCUAACACGGUGUGAUUGCAGCUGCAUGAGGCCAUCUUUGCUUCAUCUCCCAUGCUCGCACUUGUUAAAUGCAUCCCAGGUUAGGAAUGUGGACGUCAAUCACCCUCUUACCGUGAGGGAGUCCGAGUUCUCAAUCAUGACGGUAAAGAAUACAUGGACUCCACGGUUCCAGCCAUACUUGGACCAAUCACAAUGGCCGGAGUAUCAUGGAGUUCAACUAUGGCCGGACCCG